UACAGGGGGGGCAAGCGUUGUUCGGAAUUACUGGGCGUAAAGGGCCAGUAGGCGGCCAACUAAGUCACACGUGAAAUCCCCAGGCUUAACCUGGGAACUGCGUCUGAUACUGGAUGGCUUGAAUCCGGGAGAGGGAUGCAGAAUUCCAGGUGUAGCGGUGAAAUGCGUAGAUAUCUGGAGGAAUACCGGUGGCGAAGGCGGCAUCCUGGACCGGCAUUGACGCUGAGGAGCGAAAGCCAGGGGAGCAAACGGG
This 253-nucleotide ribosomal RNA is filed under the name uncultured bacterium. RNAcentral's name for it is "partial 16S ribosomal RNA". It matches the Rfam family "Bacterial small subunit ribosomal RNA", at positions 524 to 776 of the family's 1533-position model. The record is from RNAcentral.